GACGAACGCUGGCGGCGUGCCUAAUACAUGCAAGUCGAACGCUGAAGGAGGGCCUUUCUCUUCUGGACGAGUUGCGAACGGGUGAGUAACACGUGGGUAACCUGCCUGUUAGCGGGGGAUAACUCUUGGAAACGAUAGCUAAUACCGCAUAACAGCUGAUGUUGCAUGAUGUUUGCUUAAAAGGUGCGAUUGCACCGCUACCAGAUGGACCUGCGUUGUAUUAGGUAGUGGGUGGGGUAACGGCUCACCAAGGCGACGAUACAGAGCCGCACUGGGAGGGUGGUCGGCCACACUGGGAAUGGGACACGGCCCAGACUCCUUCGGGAGGCAGCAGUAGGGAAUCUUCGGCAAUGGGCGGAAGUCUGAGCGAGCAGAGCCGCGGGAGUGGAGAAGGUUUUCGGGUCGUAAAGAUCUGUUGUAAGAGGAGAAAGAGCGUGAGAGUGGAAAGUUCCGACUGUGACGGUAUCUUAUCAGAAAGGGACGGCUAACUACGUG
This 495-nucleotide ribosomal RNA is filed under the name uncultured bacterium. RNAcentral describes it as "partial 16S ribosomal RNA". It matches the Rfam family "Bacterial small subunit ribosomal RNA", at positions 28 to 507 of the family's 1533-position model. The record is from RNAcentral.